GAUGAAGAACGUAGCGAAAUGCGAUAAGUAGUGUGAAUUGCAGAAUUCAGUGAAUCAUCGAAUCUUUGAACGCACAUUGCGCCCCUUGGUAUUCCAUGGGGCAUGCCUGUUCGAGCGUCAUUUGUACCCUCAAGCUUUGCUUGGUGUUGGGUGUUUGUCCUCUCCUUUGCGUUUGGACUCGCCUUAAAGCAAUUGGCAGCCAGUGUUUUGGUAUUGAAGCGCAGCACAAUUUGCGAUUCUAGCCGACAACACUUGCGUCCAUAAGCCUUUUUUUAACUUUUGACCUCGGAUCAGGUAGGGAUACCCGCUGAACUUAAGCAUAUCAAUAAGCGGAGGA
RNAcentral lists this unclassified non-coding RNA (337 nucleotides) under soil metagenome. RNAcentral's name for it is "partial contains 5.8S ribosomal RNA, internal transcribed spacer 2, and large subunit ribosomal RNA". The stretch from base 1 to 120 matches the Rfam family "5.8S ribosomal RNA", at positions 35 to 154 of the family's 154-position model. The record is from RNAcentral.